RNAcentral lists this ribosomal RNA (494 nucleotides) under uncultured bacterium. Its description in RNAcentral is "partial 16S ribosomal RNA". It matches the Rfam family "Bacterial small subunit ribosomal RNA", at positions 28 to 507 of the family's 1533-position model. The record is from RNAcentral.
GACGAACGCUGGCGGCGCGCUUAACACAUGCAAGUCGAACGGAAAGGCCUGCUUUCCCUUGUGGAUUGCGGGUACUCGAGUGGCGAACGGGUGAGUAACACGUGAGUGAUCUGCCCCCAACUUGGGUAUAAGCCUGGGAAACUGGGUCUAAUUCCCGAUAGGACUGCAGGGUGGUGCCUGUGGUGGAAAACGAUUUUCUAGUGGUUGGGGAUGAGCUCGCGGCCUAUCAGCUUGUUGGUGGGGUAAUGGCCUACCAAGGCGGCGACGGGGAGCCGGCCUGAGAGGGUGGACGGCCACAUUGGGACUGAGAUACGGCCCAGACUCCUACGGGAGGCAGCAGUGGGGAAUAUUGCACAAUGGGCGGAAGCCUGAUGCAGCGACGCCGCGUGGGGGAUGACGGCCUUCGGGUUGUAAACUCCUUUCGACCGCGAGGAAGCCACCUGGUUGGAAGGGUGGUGACGGUAGUGGUAGAAGAAGCACCGGCUAACUACGUG